Molecule: long non-coding RNA, 2324 nt
Filed under: Homo sapiens (human)
Lineage: Eukaryota; Metazoa; Chordata; Mammalia; Primates; Hominidae
Description: HSALNT0393942
Source: RNAcentral
GAAAUUCUCGGCAGACAGUGGCAGGUCCCUGGCAAAACCCACCUUCAAGCCGUAAAGCCUGGAAUCCACAGUCCAAAGUGAGAACUUCCAACCCUGUGUGCCCACUCUUUCCCAAUUGGUUCUUUCUGAAUGUCUUUUUACCGGUUAAAUGUUGCCUUUUCCAAAACCACCUAUGGCCUGCCCUGCCCCCCAUACUGUGCCUAUAAAGAACCCAGACUCAGCUGGCAGAGGGGAGAAGCAGCUGGACAUUGGGGCGAGGUGACUUUGAGAUAGCAGCUGAAUGAAGCAACUUGACUUCGGAAGAAAGAGGCAGAGAGGUGGCUUGACUUCAGGGGAGAGUGACCUGCCCUUCCCAUUCCCUUUCCAGCUCCCCUCUCCACUGAGGGCUGAUUUCAUCACUCAACAAAAUUCUCCGAAUUCACCAUCCUUCAGUUCAUCCACAUGACCUCAUUCCUCUUGGGCACCGGACAAGAAUUUGGGAUGCACCAAAUGCAGGGGUACAAGCAAUUUUCCAGUCUUGACCCUUUAUCUGUUGACCAAGCUAAGGCAGAAACCAGCUAAAUUCUGGAUUUAAUCUUGAGCAGCAAAAAAGAUCAGCUUUUGAAGUGGAUCUGCUUUUAUUCUUGGCAAAAGUUCAGCGGAGACCAACCAGAGUGGUGACAAAGUUCUUCAACAUCAAGCCAAAUGUAAUACAAGGAAUUACGGAUAGUGCUUAAUCUAAAAUAAAGAAAUUCCACAUCUCCCUAAAAAGUUAUUGGCUUCAAGAAUGAAAACAAAAGAAGCAUAUUUGUCUCAAUCCAAACACAGACACCAGAAAGACAAACCAGGAGUAUACAGCAAAGUAGCUUGCAGGAUAAUACAUUGAAAAAUGUAAUUGUGCAUAAAUCAUGCACAAAGUAGAAACCACAAAUUCUGUAUUUGGCAAGGCUUCGGUUCCUUUGCAUAAUUCUUUCAUUUUCAUCUUGCUGCUUCCAUUCUCUUUUCAUCAAAAAAAGCUACAUAAAACAAAGACAUAAACUGUAUGCAAUUAAAAUGAGAAAAUAGCUGAAAGGAAUGUAUUGAUAAUUAUGUUAAAAUCUAUACCAUAAGUAUUCUUGCAUUGUUAAGCAUCUAAUUUUUCAUGUGUUGACAUCAGCAUCUCAGUUCUCUCUAACAUCUGAAAGCUUUUUUUUUUAAGGCAACUUCUUUUAGAGUGAACAAACUUAUGUACCACCGAGUUGACAAAAGUAUAACUAUAUCCUACAGAAAGAGACCUCAAGUAAACCUCCAGCAGCCAUCUGGACUUCCAUGAAAACAGAACAAUCAGUGAGAUGCAGAGCUUGGAGGAGACAGUUUCCAUAGACUGAAGCACGUGCUGAAGCAAAGUUCACACUUGCAGGAUUAGAAGAGGUUGACCGAAAGAAGGAAGGACAUGGACAGCUAUGUUGUUGUGGAGUCCUGUUUUAUAGUCAUAACCUUGAGUCAAGUGAGUUUGUCUGGACAGACAGAGCUUGUUGCCUUUACUUAUAGGGAAGGCACCGGACACAGACAGCCUCAAGGACAUUUGUUCUAGCCUUUCAGUAUCCUUUCUCUUAAUUAUCUCACCUCAUCCAUGAAGCUGGUAUGUACGAUUUUUCCUUUCUUUCUCAAUCCUUUAAAAAAUUAAAGCUCUAAAUCUCAUUUCCACUUAGAUUUUAAUGUUGCAUUGUAACUUAAGAUAAAACCUUGCUCUGAUGUUAAAAAUACUAAAGUAAGAAGCAAUAUGGCAUAGUGCUUAUGAGCAGGACUACAUAGUUCUUUCUGAAUACAAAUCUCAGAUAAAACACUAUCUCAGUGAUCAACCAGGUUAAGCAACCUUUUUAGUGCCUCAAUUAUUCCAUUUGUAAAAUUGUAAUAAUGAUAGUACUAACCUAUAAGAUUGUGGUGAGGAUUAAGUCAGAUAAUACAAAAGAAGCAUUUAGAGUAUUUCCUGGCAUUAUCUACCAUUUAUUGAAUUUUUAUGGUUAAGAAGAAUAAGGAAAAGCAGAAGAAAAGGAAAAGAGAAAAAAUACAUAAGAAGAAGGAAGAGUGGUAAGCUCUAGUAAAUUACAACAAACGGUAACGUAGAAAACAUUUGUUAGCCCUUAAUAUAGGCCAGGCACUGUGUUCAAUGCUUAAACCUCAUUACUGUUCUUUGAAGUGGAUAACAUUAUUCCUUCCAUUUUAAAGAAAGGAAUACUAAAGACAACUUUGUCAAUAUUAUUCAUGUAAUAAAUGACAGAAUUUGACCAAGACAAUAGAGAAUGAACUCUUAAUCACUAUAUUGUUUUAUUUUUUGAAAAUAGAUUUUAAGUUCUUAUUAAAUG